This 368-nucleotide ribosomal RNA is filed under the name uncultured eukaryote. Its description in RNAcentral is "SSU rRNA". It matches the Rfam family "Eukaryotic small subunit ribosomal RNA", at positions 587 to 972 of the family's 1831-position model. The record is from RNAcentral.
AGCUCCAAAAGCGUAUAUUAAAGUUGUUGCAGUUAAAAAGCUCGUAGUUGAACCUUGGGCUUGGCUGGCCGGUCCGCCUUCUUGGCGAGUACUGGACCCAACCGAGCCUUUCCUUCUGGCUAACCUUUUCGGAGGUGAACCAGGACUUUUACUUUGAAAAAAUUAGAGUGUUCAAAGCAGGCCUUUGCUCGAAUAUAUUAGCAUGGAAUAAUAGAAUAGGACGUUAUGGUUCUAUUUUGUUGGUUUCUAGGACCAUCGUAAUGAUUAAUAGGGACGGACGGGGGUAUCAGUAUUCAGUAGUCAGAGGUGAAAUUCUUAGAUUUACUGAAGACUAACUACUGCGAAAGCAUUUACCAAGCACGUUUUCA